Molecule: ribosomal RNA, 1504 nt
Filed under: Helicobacter pylori
Lineage: Bacteria; Pseudomonadati; Campylobacterota; Epsilonproteobacteria; Campylobacterales; Helicobacteraceae
Description: bacterial SSU rRNA
Rfam family: Bacterial small subunit ribosomal RNA
Source: RNAcentral
UUUAUGGAGAGUUUGAUCCUGGCUCAGAGUGAACGCUGGCGGCGUGCCUAAUACAUGCAAGUCGAACGAUGAAGCUUCUAGCUUGCUAGAAUGCUGAUUAGUGGCGCACGGGUGAGUAACGCAUAGGUCAUGUGCCUCUUAGUUUGGGAUAGCCAUUGGAAACGAUGAUUAAUACCAGAUACUCCCUACGGGGGAAAGAUUUAUCGCUAAGAGAUCAGCCUAUGUCCUAUCAGCUUGUUGGUAAGGUAAUGGCUUACCAAGGCUAUGACGGGUAUCCGGCCUGAGAGGGUGAACGGACACACUGGAACUGAGACACGGUCCAGACUCCUACGGGAGGCAGCAGUAGGGAAUAUUGCUCAAUGGGGGAAACCCUGAAGCAGCAACGCCGCGUGGAGGAUGAAGGUUUUAGGAUUGUAAACUCCUUUUGUUAGAGAAGAUAAUGACGGUAUCUAACGAAUAAGCACCGGCUAACUCCGUGCCAGCAGCCGCGGUAAUACGGAGGGUGCAAGCGUUACUCGGAAUCACUGGGCGUAAAGAGCGCGUAGGCGGGAUAGUCAGUCAGGUGUGAAAUCCUAUGGCUUAACCAUAGAACUGCAUUUGAAACUACUAUUCUAGAGUGUGGGAGAGGUAGGUGGAAUUCUUGGUGUAGGGGUAAAAUCCGUAGAGAUCAAGAGGAAUACUCAUUGCGAAGGCGACCUGCUGGAACAUUACUGACGCUGAUUGCGCGAAAGCGUGGGGAGCAAACAGGAUUAGAUACCCUGGUAGUCCACGCCCUAAACGAUGGAUGCUAGUUGUUGGAGGGCUUAGUCUCUCCAGUAAUGCAGCUAACGCAUUAAGCAUCCCGCCUGGGGAGUACGGUCGCAAGAUUAAAACUCAAAGGAAUAGACGGGGACCCGCACAAGCGGUGGAGCAUGUGGUUUAAUUCGAAGAUACACGAAGAACCUUACCUAGGCUUGACAUUGAGAGAAUCCGCUAGAAAUAGUGGAGUGUCUGGCUUGCUAGACCUUGAAAACAGGUGCUGCACGGCUGUCGUCAGCUCGUGUCGUGAGAUGUUGGGUUAAGUCCCGCAACGAGCGCAACCCCCUUUCUUAGUUGCUAACAGGUCAUGCUGAGAACUCUAAGGAUACUGCCUCCGUAAGGAGGAGGAAGGUGGGGACGACGUCAAGUCAUCAUGGCCCUUACGCCUAGGGCUACACACGUGCUACAAUGGGGUGCACAAAGAGAAGCAAUACUGCGAAGUGGAGCCAAUCUUCAAAACACCUCUCAGUUCGGAUUGUAGGCUGCAACUCGCCUGCAUGAAGCUGGAAUCGCUAGUAAUCGCAAAUCAGCCAUGUUGCGGUGAAUACGUUCCCGGGUCUUGUACUCACCGCCCGUCACACCAUGGGAGUUGUGUUUGCCUUAAGUCAGGAUGCUAAAUUGGCUACUGCCCACGGCACACACAGCGACUGGGGUGAAGUCGUAACAAGGUAACCGUAGGUGAACCUGCGGUUGGAUCACCUCCUUU